CUGCCCAGGUGAACUUCAGGGUCCAUACUGGAUGCUGCAUCUUUUGAGGGCAGGAUCAGUUCUGCUCUCGUGGCCCCAGCGCCAGGCCUCCUGCUUGCUGCCUGCUACAGUGGGGAGAGGAGAGGGGGGCAUCCUUCCCUUGUGCAUGCCACUGCCUGGAGCUGAGUAUUGGGGCCAACUCUCUCAUGCUCAUAACCUCAGGGCCAGCUCACCUGCAACUUCCGGAAUUUGCAGCCCUACUCUCUUGAAUACUGCUGCUGGCUAGGGGUGACUCAGCUCUCUUUCUCACAUGUUUCCAGGCUUGUCUCUUCCUUGAUGCUCAGGGAGCCAGUUCUGCAUAGCCCUCAGACAUGAACAUGGCUCCAGCAGGCAGCUCAGACAAGAGACUUCCACCUGGCCUUUGAUGGUAACAGGCCCCCGGUGCUGUAGUGCAUUGACCCAGACAUGGCCCCCCAGUGGCAGCCCAGGCCAAGACCUCACCACACAUGGUCCCAGGUGACAUCACCAUCCUGAGCUACUCACAUCAAGAUGUUCCUCACUACCGUUAAGUCUCCAGUUCUACCUCUCUUCAUUGUGCCCACAUCCUUCUGUUUCUUACUUCUCUUCCAUUUUUGCACCACUUACUUGAUCUUCUUAGUGGUGCCUGGGAUCUCUGGAUGUCUGGGGUAGUCUCAGGAGUGGUCCCAGGAGUGGUCUCAGGAGUGCUAUCCCCUGCUAGUGCAUUACAGCAGGGGUCAUCUGCUCCUUCCCGCAGGCCUAUGUGAUGCCCAACUCAUCUCAGGAUACUUCCCUGUCCAGGACCCAUGGCACUUGUCUAGUGGUCUUCUUGGGCUCCCUUCUCACCCAGGCCAGCCACAGUGGCCCUGUGUGAGUGAGGGUCAUCUGUCUCAGGAUCACACCCACCCAGGGCCUGCAGUCCCAGAUGGGGCUCUUCUUGUCCCCUGCUCAUUCCCACCCUGUGAGUCAAUCUAGGAGUACGUGGAACUAAACUGGUAGCCAUCGUAGGCCUUUUUUCAGGGAGUGUUAGGCUAGUAAUCAUUCAGAUGGUCAUGCCUGAUGUAAUUAUUAAACCUCAAAUAGGGUUUUCUACCCUGCCUUUGAUCAGUUCCCAGAUAAAAGGCAUACAACUUUUAUAUUUAUAAUAAGCCUUAAUCAGCAUUAGAGCUGGGCAGUUAUCUGCUCUCUGUGCUAUUAGAAUCCAUUUCCCCAUCAUUAACCUCAUUUUAUAAUUUGUCGUGCUCCAUCUGGGAAGCUCUUAACUCCAACUAGCCAGGCCUCGUGGCUAUGUUUUCAUGAUUCACCUACCCUAUGACAGCUUCCUCCUUUCUCCACCUUCUUCUCCAUUUCCAUGGUUCUCCUUGGGCUCCAAUAACAGGGAAACUCAAACCCUCCAUACUGUGCCCAGCUAGUGGCUGUUGGCAUCUUUAUUUAACCAAAAGUGGACAACUUGGGGGGUGGGCAAAAUUAUAUAGCCUUAUUUGUUUGUGUAUAUGCAGAUUCUCUCAUCUCUGGAGGCAACCAGACCUUGGGGGUCAGUUAAUACUACAAUGCAAGCAAAAGACCAAACUUCAACACAUGUCAGAGCACUGAGCAUAGAUCUAGCUUCUGUCUGCCACCUCCACAUGUGACACAACAGCCAUAUCUGCAACUAUAGGGGAGUGAUUAUUUACACUUCUGUGCAAAAGUUUUUAAUUUCAUGCAGUUUCAUUUGACAAUUCCAAUGUUUAUUUCAUAUGCUACUUUCCAGAAAUCCCUUGUAUAUGCUCAUGUUUUAUUUAUGGUUUACUUUAGCAGAGUCCAAGUUUCUCGUAUUAGUUAGAGGUGUUCCAUCUGUUUUGAAUUGGAUUUCGCGAAGGAUGAGAGAUGGACGUCUGGCUUCAUGUCUCUAAAUCCUGAAGAUUAGAAGGACAUGCUAAGAGCCUGGAGUCACACUCCAGCACCGUGUGUGGCCUGAAGGAUGCAGCGCCUGGAAGGCACAACUUCUUGCACACUUUUAGGAAACAAAUAUUGUUCCAAGACCAUGACUCACAUCCCAUCAGAAGGCUCUUCCAGAGACCUUCAGCCCUGGCAAUUCCUUUAUGACCUGCAGUAAAGGUCUCCCGGACCAGAACUAAGGAAUAAAUAGAGGUUAGUGCAAACACAUAAAAUCAAGGCAAGGGAGUCUCCCACACCUCUGUUUACACUGCCAUUUGUCUCCCUGUUAAAAUGCAAUAAAGACCAUAAAAUGAAAUAGGCUGUGAAGAAUGAAAGAUCCCUUAUUCAUAAAAAAUGGUUCAAAUGAGAAAAGUCCUUUAAUGGAGAUGAGACAGCUACCAGGCCAGGGAGUGGGACAGAGACACAUAAAACCUUUAAGACAAUUCAUUAACCACAAAUUAUUGCAGGCAACUGAACUCAAGGUCUGUUUCCCUAAAACAUGCGUGUAUUCCAACUAUCAAAGGGAUAGAUGGUCUCCAUGUAUCUGCUGCAAAGAAAGAAGAAAAAGCUGGUUCUUUGGAUUUGGGAUCUUCCCAACUGGUCAGUGAGUCGUCAGAAGAAACAUGACCUUCAGUGGAAAUGAGGAGGACAUUAGAGGGCAGGAUCAGAGCCAACCCACUCAUACUUCUGACCACUUUCCAGAACUGGAGCUGAAAAAAAAUGAUCCCUGGCAUCAUUGACCAGACUGGAAGAAUUGUCCUUUGCCCUAAUUCUUGCACCAUUUAAAUCUACAUCUCUCAAGGUGUGCCUGCAGUAGACCUCCAGCAAGCCUCCGUACCUAACUUCACACAGGUUCUCUUUAUUCCUGUCAGCAUCUGUCUCUCAGUAAGACACAAGUGAGCUGGUCCAUGUUCUUACUACUGCCAUCUCUUAGAGUUACCUGUCAGCUUUGUGACUGACCAGCCUGCUCCAGAGACACCUCAGCUUAUCCCUUCUAGACAAGUCUAGGGGUUCUGGAUGCAUUUGCUCUCUCUGCUGUUCAGGAUGGCUGCAGACCUAAAGCAAUGACUUAAAGCCUUCAUUCUUGAAAUGUAACAUAAGUUAGACAGGUUCUUCUUGACGGAGUAACAUGCCUGUGACUUUGACCUGAGGUAAAGAAGACAGAUAUAAAUGAAGGCAGUGACAUCAGGGCUUUCAUGACACUUUUCAGUGUCUUCUGGGCCUAAGGAAGAAAUCAACACCUUUAAGUAAAAGCAGGCUUAAGUGCUUGGUGCACUUUUAUUUAUUAUGAUUUAUUUUUUAAUAAAAAAUAAAGAUGCUCUAAAACUUACCAACUUAGAGUGUAAAUUUAUAUACAUAUACACACAUACACAUAUAUACAUACAUAUAUAGGUACAUGUAUACAUAUGUACGUGUAUGUAUACAUGUAUGCACACACACGC
Molecule: non-coding RNA, 3356 nt
Organism: Rattus norvegicus (Norway rat)
Lineage: Eukaryota; Metazoa; Chordata; Mammalia; Rodentia; Muridae
Source: RefSeq, a predicted model, not a curated record